RNAcentral lists this unclassified non-coding RNA (327 nucleotides) under Hevea brasiliensis (rubber tree). Lineage: Eukaryota; Viridiplantae; Streptophyta; Magnoliopsida; Malpighiales; Euphorbiaceae. The record is from RNAcentral.
GAGGUUUUAAAACCUUAUUGGGAAUGGCUUAUGGAGCACAAGAAAAACUUGAAUGCGUACAUAAUACGAAUAAUUGACAAUGCCAUCCUACGUGAGAUCUGCUUCAACAAAUCAUCCCACAUGGUUUCUAAUGGUCUGAGCAUUAUUGGGGUUAAGUUGAUUUGGUGAGAGGCCAAAAACUUGAAUACAAAAGAGAGAUUCUAUAAAGUGAUUUCUUCAAAAGCAAUGCCAGAGGGCCAUUCUUUAAUAGAUAUAUGUUGAUUCUAGAUUGACCAAGGCCAAUUCUAUAAGGAAUAGGGUAUGUCCACUUCAUGCUCGAACUGAAAG